RNAcentral lists this ribosomal RNA (253 nucleotides) under uncultured bacterium. Its description in RNAcentral is "partial 16S ribosomal RNA". It matches the Rfam family "Bacterial small subunit ribosomal RNA", at positions 524 to 776 of the family's 1533-position model. The record is from RNAcentral.
UACGAAGGGUGCGAGCGUUAUUCGGAUUUAUUGGGCGUAAAGGGUGCGCAGGCGGUAUGCUAAGUCAACUGUUAAAUCCCCCAGCCUAACUGGGGAUCGGCGGUAGAUACUGGCGUACUAGAGGGUGGAAGAGAGAAGUGGAAUUCUUGGAGUAGCGGUAAAAUGCGUAGAUCUCAAGAGGAACACCGAUGGCGAAGGCAGCUUCUUGGUCCACAUCUGACGCUCAUGCACGAAAGCGUGGGGAGCAAACAGG